GGACCCGCACAAGUAGUGGAGCAUGUGGUUUAAUUCGAAGAUACGCGCAGAACCUUACCAACACUUGACAUGUUCGUCGCGACUCUGAGAGAUCAGAGUUUUCGGUUCGGCCGGACGAAACACAGGUGCUGCAUGGCUGUCGUCAGCUCGUGUCGUGAGAUGUUGGGUUAAGUCCCGCAACGAGCGCAACCCUCACUUUUAGUUGCCAUCAUUAAGUUGGGCACUCUGAAAGAACUGCCAGUGAUAAGCUGGAGGAAGGUGGGGAUGACGUCAAGUCCUCAUGGCCCUUACGUGUUGGGCUACACACGUGCUACAAUGGUAUCUACAACAGGAAGCAAAACGGCGACGUUAAGCAAAUCCUUAAAAGAUACCUCAGUUCGGAUUGCACUCUGCAACUCGAGUGCAUGAAGCUGGAAUU
This 418-nucleotide ribosomal RNA is filed under the name uncultured bacterium. RNAcentral describes it as "bacterial SSU rRNA". It matches the Rfam family "Bacterial small subunit ribosomal RNA", at positions 917 to 1333 of the family's 1533-position model. The record is from RNAcentral.